UGACCGUUCCACGCACCAACUAGACCAUAUUCUCCAGGCGGAUCGGUACGCCACUCGAGUACCUGGUGCCCAUGCGUUGUCAAGGAGGUCGAGAGUUGAUUGCGGAACCCCUGUGAUAGACCAGGGUCCCCUGAAAGAGGCCAUGCGAUCAGGUGUAGGAGGCCGCGCUCCACCAACUCGUGCGAGUUGCCAUCCGGAUCCCUCAGGAGAUUCGGGAAGGUCGGUAUCAGGCGUGGGUAAUCCGCUGUCAGUUCCAGCAGCCGAGGGAACCACGGCCGAGACCGCCAUAGUGGUGUGAUCAGUACCAACGAGCCGCUGUGUUGCGUCAGUUUCGACAGCGUGCGAGCUAUCAUAUUGAACGGGGGAAAAGCGUAGAGCCGAGUCUGCGGCCAGUCUUGAAGGAACGCAUCCGUUGCUACUGCCGCCGGAUCCGGUCUCCAACUGAAGAACUUGGGUACUUGUGCGUUGAGACGGGACGCGAAAAGGUCCAUGUCGAAAGGGCCCCAAAUGUGGUCCAGACCCUGGAAGGCCGUAGCGUGCAAGCGCCAAUCUCCAGAAUCUCUCAAAUAGCGUGAGUUCCAAUCGGCCGUUGAGUUGUCCAAAC
Molecule: non-coding RNA, 604 nt
Organism: Pelobates cultripes (western spadefoot toad)
Lineage: Eukaryota; Metazoa; Chordata; Amphibia; Anura; Pelobatidae
Source: the annotation of a GenBank genome assembly